GAUCCCCUGCCUCAGAAAAAUAGAUCGAUCCCCUCGCUCUCUUCCACCUCACGCCGUCAGGGAGGCGCUCCAUGCGCGCGCCCGAUCCGCGGCACCCGCCAGUACAGCCCGACCCCGGCGAGGCUGCACCACCCUCGACCUCGCUAUUCCUCACCUCAGCUCUCCUCCUCCCAUGUUGCAUCGUGCCACCAUGUCCGAGCCGCUCGCCUCCGUUCCGAUGACGCCUGUGGACAGCACCGCCGUGCGUGCACCCUGCACGGCGCUGCCGCACCUCCUGCUCCUGCUGCCGUCUGCUGCAGCAAGCCGCCGCCUCGUUUCCCCUCCUUUCUCCCGUUUUCUCCUCCCCCCAUCUCCCCGUCUCCUUUCUGGCAGGAGCCUAGAUGCCAUGAAUUCGACCGGGAAGUCGCGCUUCAGCUUUAAUCAUCGUCACCGGCGACCUCCGUGGUCACCGUCCUCCUCUGAAUCCUCCCCAACCCGUGCCACGCACGGAUCCAUUCGCUGCAAGCUCCAGUCGUCGCCGCCGUUCUGCAGAUCGCGGGUUGAAUAGACGAAAACAUAGGGUCCUGUUUGUAAAUUUGAAACAUUUUUCUGAUUGACUAAAACCUGUAGUGCGGGUUGAUUUUAUGGAACUAUAGGGGGUUUUCUGUAAAUAUGCGCGACGAACGACCAGAAGCACUCCGUGCUUUAUUAGUAGGGAAAGAUAAGAUAAGAUAAGAUAUAGAUGUGACGCGAAAAUCCGUGCUGACCGUCCGAGCAAAACCAAAUUGUGCGAAGUCCACCACUUUUAUUCUCUGAUCCAGAUUGAUAUUCUCCUUCAAGUCCGGAUCGAUCUAGGUCUACUACGACACAAAUCGCUCAUCCAAUCUCCCCUCGCUGAGCAGGAAGGCUGGAAGGCGGCGACGACCCAGGUAGCGGCGGGAAGGCGGAGACGGACAGGGGAACGGCGGCUUUGCGUGCAGCGAAGAAGGGAGAAGCAGCAAGGCCGCGGUAGGAAGGCUGCAAGUCGUCUGCUAGCAUUCCCUACUCCUCUGCCCGCCCCUCCAGCCUGCCCGCUGGCGGCGCUCUACUCCUUCGGCUACCCAUCUUCUCCUUCACCGUGUACGACGGCGAGACUAACCUCCGCGGUGUUUGGGAAUAGCUGAACUUUGGCAGCUGCUGCUGGUGUUGUAUCAUGAUGGAAAUUCAGUCGAUCAGCAAUUGAAUUUGACUAUUUGAACAUGCUAGCUGCUGUCGUACAAGAGGUGAAGGGUAGUUAUACUGUUUACUGCUUGUGAUGUACUAUGUGUUCACAAAUUUUACCUAGAUGUAUUAUGUGUUCACAAAUUUACAUUCAUUCUGUGAGACUGUGACGCUGGACACAAUACCACAAUAAAGGUUUGAUGGAUAAAGCAAGUCACCGAUCUGAAAAUGUGGAGCCUAGUUGAAGUGAUGAAUUCAUUACUGUUAUUUUUUAUUUUAUGUCCAUGUACUUUAUAAUUUGAACAAGAAGAUUUGUAGGUGUGACUGCCCUAAAGUGUCCAUACUAGAUCUCAAAUACGUUGGUGUUGGUUGUGCUGUUUCCUAAACACUCUUACACAUGUUACUGUCAAAGAAAAAACAUUCUUACACA
This is a long non-coding RNA of Triticum aestivum (bread wheat), 1609 nucleotides long. RefSeq lists it as uncharacterized. The transcript has 3 exons. The record is from RefSeq and is a predicted model, not a curated record. Lineage: Eukaryota; Viridiplantae; Streptophyta; Magnoliopsida; Poales; Poaceae.